Molecule: ribosomal RNA, 473 nt
Filed under: uncultured bacterium
Lineage: Bacteria
Description: bacterial SSU rRNA
Rfam family: Bacterial small subunit ribosomal RNA
Source: RNAcentral
GAUGAACGCUAGCGGCAGGCUUAACACAUGCAAGUCGAGGGGUAUGCUUCUUCGGAAGCAGAGACCGGCGCACGGGUGCGUAACGCGUAUGCAAUCUACCUUUUACAGAGGGAUAGCCCAGAGAAAUUUGGAUUAAUACCUCAUAGUAUUAUAGAAUGGCAUCAUUUUAUAAUUAAAGUCACAACGGUAAAAGAUGAGCAUGCGUCCCAUUAGCUAGUUGGAAGGUAACGGCUUACCAAGGCUACGAUGGGUAGGGGUCCUGAGAGGGAGAUCCCCCACACUGGUACUGAGACACGGACCAGACUCCUACGGGAGGCAGCAGUGAGGAAUAUUGGACAAUGGGCGCAAGCCUGAUCCAGCCAUGCCGCGUGCAGGAUGACGGUCCUAUGGAUUGUAAACUGUCUUUUAUACGAGAAGAAACACUCCUUCGUGAAGGAGCUUGACGGUAUCGUAAGAAUAAGGAUCGGCUAACU